Molecule: ribosomal RNA, 387 nt
Filed under: uncultured bacterium
Lineage: Bacteria
Description: bacterial SSU rRNA
Rfam family: Bacterial small subunit ribosomal RNA
Source: RNAcentral
AAUGAACGCUGGCGGCGCGCCUAAUACAUGCAAGUCGAGCGAGAAGACGUAGCAAUACGUUUGUAAAGCGGCGAACGGGUGAGGAAUACAUGGGUAACCUACCCUCGAGUGGGGAAUAACUAGCCGAAAGGUUAGCUAAUACCGCGUACGCUUCUUGGACUUCGGUUCAGGGAGGAAAGCGAUGCCGAGGGUAUCGCGCUCUUGGAUGGGCUCAUGUCCUAUCAGCUGUUGGUGAGGUAACGGCUCACCAAGGCUUCGACGGGUANCUGGUCUGAGAGGACGAUCAGCCACACUGGCACUGCGACACGGGCCAGACUCCUACGGGAGCAGCAGUAAGGAAUAUUGCGCAAUGGGCGAAAGCCUGACGCAGCGACGCCGCGUGGGGGA